UGCUCGGAUCCGCACCCCCGGCCGCCGUCUCGGCCCCGCUGCAGCAUCCCGUGCCCGCACUCUGUGGCCCCGUCCCGCUGUCCCGGGACCCUCGCUCUGCGUUGUGUGAGCCCCGGCCCCGUGUGGCGGGGACCGCUCGGAGCCCGGAGCGCCGCGGCGGGGCCGCGACUGGGACGGGGCUGUGAGACCGAGUCCUGCCGGCGCCCGCUCCUGGGGCGGUGCUGCCUCUGCCCCGGCGGGAGGGUCGCGGCUCUCGGCCGGACUGGGCUUGAGACUGGGCAAAGCCCAGCCUGGGCUCGAUGCCCGCUCCUGCUAUGACGCCAGGACGAGGUUGACCAGGACGCAGAGACGGGCUGAGAGCUCCCACAUGCCGGGGAUGAAGGAUUGUUUCCCCACUCUGCCCAGCGCCGGGAAGAGCUGGAGCCCGCCGAGCUAGAGCAGGACCGAGAGAGGGCAGCGAUGCCACGCGGCGAAGUCGCUAGGACAGGAGCAGCGGGAAUUGACAGCUGCCCCUCCUCAGCAGACUAAAAAAAACACCCACGUGGCUUUUCAGUUUGGGAUUAUCUUUAUUUUACAGUUUAUAAAAAGCUUUUCCCAACGUGUGUGCUCCAUUAAACUUCCGUGCCGUCGUGCAAA
This is a long non-coding RNA of Zonotrichia leucophrys gambelii, 636 nucleotides long. RefSeq lists it as uncharacterized. The transcript is spliced from 2 exons. Lineage: Eukaryota; Metazoa; Chordata; Aves; Passeriformes; Passerellidae. The record is from RefSeq and is a predicted model, not a curated record.